GUGGAGGGGACGGUCGUCAUGGAAACGGGGGGGGGGAAGAGAGAGCGCCUCUGCCUCAAAGCCACGCCGCAGCGCGGGUCACGUGGCCUUCCCCUCCCCCGCUUCCUGGUGCAGCCACCGCGCCUCUGUCACGUGACGGGCGCCCCUCGCCGCGGCGUGUAGGGCCCCGCCGGCCUCCCGGGGGGCUGGGGUCUCCCCGCGUCCACGACCCCGGUCCCUGUGCGCUGAGCUCCCCCGGGCAGGACCGGGGUCUGGCCGGGGACAAGCGUUUCGGUUGCUGAGGGCGGCUGGCGGUGUAAAAUGGCGGCGCGAUAAACGCCGGGCCCGAAUUCCGGAAUUUCUGUGUUGCAUCAAGUCACACAGAACUAGAAAUAAUGGUGCCCCUUAUCCUUAAACUCCUGGAGCGUGACAGAAGCAGCAGAGAUCCCAGUUACGACUAAGAACAAUGACUGGCAGCAAGUAAACAUCAGUGAUAAUGUUAACUCUAACAGUCUAUGGCCAUAACUUGUAGAUAUUUAAUCCAAAUGCACAUACUGCUUUAAUAAAAGAGCUUUUGUGCAUAUAAGCAAAUCCAUAUCAGUAUUACCAAAAUUAA
Long non-coding RNA from Aquila chrysaetos chrysaetos, 595 nucleotides. RefSeq lists it as uncharacterized. The record is from RefSeq and is a predicted model, not a curated record. Lineage: Eukaryota; Metazoa; Chordata; Aves; Accipitriformes; Accipitridae. The transcript has 2 exons.